RNAcentral lists this transfer RNA (67 nucleotides) under Rediviva intermixta. Its description in RNAcentral is "tRNA-Trp". The record is from RNAcentral. Lineage: Eukaryota; Metazoa; Arthropoda; Insecta; Hymenoptera; Melittidae.
AAGAUUUUAAGUUAAUAACUGUAAACCUUCAAAGUUUAAAUUAUAAAUUGUAAUUUUAUAAAUCUUA